AAAAGUGAAUAAGAGAAACGUCUCUAGAGAAAGCUUCCAAUCUCUGUCCUACAAAUCAUGGAAUCUCACUCUCUGCUGCACUACGACCAAUGAAAUGAGCUGGUUCAAGGACUGUCAUAGCAUUAUUAGGAUGGGAUUCAUGAAUAGAUAAAAGAGUAUAGGAAAAACCUACAUUGGUGGGGUUUAAGCUUCCCCCAGGACUGAACUGGUUGCACCUGACCCCAAAGCUGGAGUUGCUUAUUGGGAUGGACUCCUCUGGGCUACAAUUGACUCAAAGAACUGAAAGCUCACUUGAGAGUGGAGGGAAGAGAUGUGUUUGGAAAUUAAAGUGAAAUAAAGGCAAAAAGCAUCAUUAAAAUGAAGAUUUUUAAAGUAAAAGUAAUCAAAUUUCCAAGAGAAACUUAAUGAAGAAAAGAACAGAGAUCAUCCUGAACAGUAUUAAAGACUUCAAAAUAAAAAUGAA
This 463-nucleotide long non-coding RNA is filed under the name Sarcophilus harrisii (Tasmanian devil). Its description in RNAcentral is "lncRNA (ENSSHAG00000026578.1)". Lineage: Eukaryota; Metazoa; Chordata; Mammalia; Dasyuromorphia; Dasyuridae. The record is from RNAcentral.